UCGAGUGCUGCUAAAACUAGCAUUAGCAUGGCUCUGAUCUCGCACAUGAAAGCGAGACACGCCAGACUCGCCUCGGUCGACUGCUGAUUCCUCCUGUGUCUAGACAAACACAAUGCUUGGCAGAGAGUCCCUCCGCUUAAGUAUGGGGUGGUCGCCAUGGAGACCACACACUAAACACCGUCUUCUAUUCGUCUGCCCAAAUGGGAGCGCGUGAAGGCCACGCCACCUCAGGAAUCCAAUACAAAAAGCAUCAGAAAUAAAAGCUGUGAAUCUUCCUGCCAGAUCAGGACUCGAUUCAUUCUGAGCACAGCAGAAGUAUGUGGAUGCUGUUCCACUUUGACCUUAAAAAUGUUGUCAAAAUAAAAGUUUCCUUUUUAAAAGC
This is a long non-coding RNA of Poecilia reticulata (guppy), 382 nucleotides long. RefSeq lists it as uncharacterized. The record is from RefSeq and is a predicted model, not a curated record. NCBI's taxonomy places the organism in Eukaryota, Metazoa, Chordata, Actinopteri, Cyprinodontiformes, Poeciliidae.